Molecule: ribosomal RNA, 557 nt
Filed under: Mesorhizobium sp. HRRP174
Lineage: Bacteria; Pseudomonadati; Pseudomonadota; Alphaproteobacteria; Hyphomicrobiales; Phyllobacteriaceae
Description: bacterial SSU rRNA
Rfam family: Bacterial small subunit ribosomal RNA
Source: RNAcentral
AUGGGUGGGUAACGCGGGGGAAUCUACCCCUUUAUACGGAACAACUCCGGGAAACUGGAGCUAAUACCGUAUACGUCCUUUUGGAGAAAGAUUUAUCGGAGAUGGAUGAGCCCGCGUUGGAUUAGCUAGUUGGUGGGGUAAUGGCCUACCAAGGCGACGAUCCAUAGCUGGUCUGAGAGGAUGAUCAGCCACACUGGGACUGAGACACGGCCCAGACUCCUACGGGAGGCAGCAGUGGGGAAUAUUGGACAAUGGGCGCAAGCCUGAUCCAGCCAUGCCGCGUGAGUGAUGAAGGCCCUAGGGUUGUAAAGCUCUUUCAACGGUGAAGAUAAUGACGGUAACCGUAGAAGAAGCCCCGGCUAACUUCGUGCCAGCAGCCGCGGUAAUACGAAGGGGGCUAGCGUUGUUCGGAAUUACUGGGCGUAAAGCGCACGUAGGCGGAUACUUAAGUCAGGGGUGAAAUCCCGGGGCUCAACCCCGGAACUGCCUUUGAUACUGGGUAUCUCGAGUCCGGAAGAGGUGAGUGGAAUUCCGAGUGUAGAGGUGAAAUUCGUAGA